RNAcentral lists this ribosomal RNA (301 nucleotides) under uncultured bacterium. Its description in RNAcentral is "partial 16S ribosomal RNA". It matches the Rfam family "Bacterial small subunit ribosomal RNA", at positions 509 to 808 of the family's 1533-position model. The record is from RNAcentral.
CAGCAGCCACGGGAAUACGUAGGUGGCAAGCGUUGUCCGGAAUUAUUGGGCGUAAAGGGCUCGCAGGCGGUUCCGUAAGUCGGAUGUGAAAUCUUGGGGCUCAACCUCAAAACUGCAUUCGAUACUGCGGGGCUAGAGGACUGGAGAGGAGAGUGGAAUUCACGGUGUAGCAGUGAAAUGCGUAGAUAUCGUGAGGAAGACCAGCGGCGAAGGCGGCUCUCUGGACAGUUCCUGACGCUGAUGCACGAAGGCCAGGGGAGCAAACGGGAUUAGAUACCCGCGUAGUCCCUGUCUCUUAUAU